This is a long non-coding RNA of Gorilla gorilla gorilla (western lowland gorilla), 875 nucleotides long. RefSeq lists it as uncharacterized. The transcript has 3 exons. Lineage: Eukaryota; Metazoa; Chordata; Mammalia; Primates; Hominidae. The record is from RefSeq and is a predicted model, not a curated record.
AUAAAAGUUCAGGAGGUGCAUCAUCUAUAACUACUUCUGUAGAAAUAUAGGGGAAACUGUAAUUACAUCCUCAGAAACUUAUGCUUUCAAGUAAAAGGCAAAUAAAAUUAGUAAAAUAACUUCAUGCAACUCAUGGCUAUCCAGAGGCAGCUUUAUUCAAUGGAAGUGCUCUCACUGCUGGUUCACAGCAAGGGUUCCCAUGACAACCAAGAAUACACAGUACUGUGGUGAUGCUGUUUGCCCAGGGAUAUCCUGUCAUUAAUAUAAAUAAGUAGAUAACGAUAUCUAGUCUAUAGGUAUUAUGAUCCACAGCUGUCCAUAAAUGACAACUGCAGAGUAGAAUGGAAUGCUCAGAACUGAGUUUAUUCCAAGUUCAAUUAAAGUUUUAUUUCCUUACUUUCUAAAAACAUCAAAGUAUAUGCUUCUAAAUUAUUCUACUGUGUUUCACUAUAAUUUUCAAGUUUGGUUUCAUCCUGGAUUAUGACCUUUCAGUGAGCUGGGACAGUAAUGUGGCCCCAGUUGACCAUCAGCCAUCAACCACCACCCAGUUAAAGUCAAUGAUAUGAACUGCACGCUUAAAGAUUCACAGGUAGGAGCAAUGCUACUUAGAAGUUUCACGGAGGCCAAAGUUCAGUGAAAGCAAGACCAAGCCAAUGACACAGAGCCAGCCAAUGACACAUCAACACUGACAAGGAGAAGGAUGUGCAGCAAUAGGGGCACAAGCAUUGACCUUUGAAGAGUCACAUCAUAGCUGUGUUAGCACUGAACCACAGGGCACUGGUGUCUUUUUUCAUCCUGAAAAUUCUGAUUCAACAAAAAAGUUUCUUUCCUUCCCAAUUUACCUUCCUUUGAACUAAUUAAACUUCUAUCCUCUU